UCCWUUAWUYWWKWWYGAAAGUUAGAGGUUCGAAGGCGAUCAGAUACCGCCCUAGUUCUAACCAUAAACGAUGCCAGCCAGCGAUCCGGCUGUGUUCCUCAAAUGACACGCCGGGCAGCUUCCGGGAAACCAAAGCUUUUGGGUUCCGGGGGAAGUAUGGUUGCAAAGCUGAAACUUAAAGGAAUUGACGGAAGGGCACCACCAGGAAUGGAGCCUGCGGCUUAAUUUGACUCAACACGGGAAAACUUACCCGGCCCGGACACAGGAAGGAUUGACAGAUUAAGAGCUCUUUCUUGAUUCUGUGGGUGGUGGUGCAUGGCCGUUCUUAGUUGGUGGAGCGAUUUGUCUGGUUAAUUCCGAUAACGAACGAGACUCUAGCCUACUAAAUAGACGUUCCGAUCAUCUCCGUCGGACGUUCUUCUUAGAGGGACAAGCGGCGUUUAGCCGCACGAGACAGAGCAAUAACAGGUCUGUGAUGCCCUUAGAUGUCCGGGGCCGCACGCGCGCUACAUUGAAGGAAUCAGCGUGUGCUUUCCCUGUCCGACAGGACUGGGUAACCCGUUGAACCUCCUUCGUGCUGGGGAUAGGGGCUUGUAAUUGUUCCCCUUGAACGAGGAAUUCCCAGUAAGCACGAGUCAUAAGCUCGUGUUGAUUACGUCCCUGCCCUUUGUACACACCGCCCGUCGCUACUACCGAUUGAAUGAUUUAGUGAGGUCUUCGGACUGGCGCCCGGAGCGGCCCUCGGGUCGCGCCGGCGUGCCGGAAAGAUGACCAAACUUGAUCAUUUAGAGGAAGUAAAAAAAAAAAAAAAAAA
Molecule: ribosomal RNA, 814 nt
Filed under: Sinopoda mamillata
Lineage: Eukaryota; Metazoa; Arthropoda; Arachnida; Araneae; Sparassidae
Description: SSU rRNA
Source: RNAcentral